This 297-nucleotide signal recognition particle RNA is filed under the name Piliocolobus tephrosceles (Ugandan red Colobus). RNAcentral's name for it is "Metazoan signal recognition particle RNA (ENSPTEG00000017036.1)". It matches the Rfam family "Metazoan signal recognition particle RNA". Rfam says of the family: The signal recognition particle (SRP) is a universally conserved ribonucleoprotein. The record is from RNAcentral. Lineage: Eukaryota; Metazoa; Chordata; Mammalia; Primates; Cercopithecidae.
GCUGGGCAUGGUGGCACGUGCCUGAAGUCUCAGCUAUUCAGGAGGCUGAGGCAGUCAGGUUCCUUGAGCCCAGGAGUUCUGGGCUGUAAAGCGCUAUGCCAAUUGGGGAUCCACGCUAAAUACGGCAUUAAUAUGGUGACCUCCUGGGAGCAGGGGCCGCCAGCUUGCUUAAGGAGGGGUGAACCAGCCCAGGUUGGAAACGGAGCAGGUCAAAACUCUGGUGCUGUCAGUAGUGGGAUUGCGCCUGUGAAAAGCCACUGCACUCCACCCUGGGCAACAUAGCAAGAACCCAUCUCU